This 1044-nucleotide small RNA is filed under the name Pan troglodytes (chimpanzee). RNAcentral describes it as "retained intron". The record is from RNAcentral. Lineage: Eukaryota; Metazoa; Chordata; Mammalia; Primates; Hominidae.
AGUGCGCCGCGCUGCGCUGGGCGCCAUGGCGCUCCCCGGAGCCCGGGCUCGCGGCUGGGCGGCAGCAGCCAGAGCGGCCCAGAGGCGCCGCCGCGUGGAGAACGCAGGAGGGUCCCCGAGUCCUGAGCCUGCGGGCCGGCGCGCGGCGCUUUACGUACACUGGCCUUACUGCGAGAAGCGCUGCAGUUACUGCAACUUCAACAAGUACAUCCCUCGCCGCGUGGAGGAGGCUGCCAUGCAGAAGUGUCUGGUGACCGAAGCUCAGACGCUGCUGCGGCUCAGCGGGGUGCAACGGGUGGAGUCUGUGUUCUUUGGUGGGGGGACCCCCAGUCUAGCCAGUCCCCACACGGUGGCUGCUGUCCUGGAGGCUGUGGCACAGACAGCCCACCUGCCUGCAGACUCGGAAGUCACAUUGGAGGCUAAUCCUACUUCAGCUCCGGGCUCCAGACUGGCAGAGUUCGGGGCAGCAGGGGUUAACAGGUUGUCUAUAGGCCUCCAGGUAACCCAUGGCACUCACCCCAUCCCAGUGCACCCCGCCCUUCAGUGCCAUCUCCUCUUUGGUCACAUUCAUUCAUUGGGCAAACAUUGAUUGAGCACCUUCUGGGUGCCAGGGACACAGUAGGGCCUAGUGCGACACUUUUAUAACUCCUUAAUUGUCUGCUGCUGUCAUAGACCACACACUUUAUGAGAAAGGGAUCAGGUGUGGCUUUUCUAUUUCAAACACUUACCAUAGUGCCUGGCACAUAGUAGGUGGUCAAAAAAGAUUUGCUACAUGACACGGGAGACACAGACAUGUAGCCAGAUUAUUGCAGCAUGGUAAAUGUCACCUGUAAAGGGGGUCUCUAUAAAAGGCUUCUAGAGUACAGCCUGAAGGGAGGUCACUCUGAUGAAAUCACUGAAACUUCUCUGGAGGAGAUGUUUGAAUGAAGAGGAGGAGUUCACCAGGUGAGGGGGUGUGGGGGAAACGACACAGGCCAUGGAAGAGCCUGGCAUGUUUUGGGGGAGCUGUGAGUCAUUCCUUGUGACUGGAGAGGCUGGAGACAA